This is a long non-coding RNA of Trichosurus vulpecula (common brushtail), 162 nucleotides long. RefSeq lists it as uncharacterized. NCBI's taxonomy places the organism in Eukaryota, Metazoa, Chordata, Mammalia, Diprotodontia, Phalangeridae. The transcript is spliced from 3 exons. The record is from RefSeq and is a predicted model, not a curated record.
GGGGCACCUGCAGCAGCGCCAAGGUGGUGCGGAGCCCCUCAGCCUGCUCCUCCUGCUGCAGCUGGACGGAGAGAGGAGGGUCAAUGCCAAGGUCACAAAGCCCCAAUUGGACCUCAAUUCUUUAGAAUCCCAGAUCCCUUUACACUCCUAAAAAUUAUUGAG